Molecule: ribosomal RNA, 894 nt
Filed under: uncultured Rhodocyclaceae bacterium
Lineage: Bacteria; Pseudomonadati; Pseudomonadota; Betaproteobacteria; Rhodocyclales; Rhodocyclaceae
Description: bacterial SSU rRNA
Rfam family: Bacterial small subunit ribosomal RNA
Source: RNAcentral
UAGUUUGAGAGUCGCACGGCAGUUKGAGACUUCGGUCCGCCGGCGAGUGGCGAACGGGUGAGUAAAGUAUCGGAACAUACCUUUCAGUGGGGGAUAACGUAGCGAAAGUUACGCUAAUACCGCAUAUUCUGUGAGCAGGAAAGCAGGGGAUCGCAAGACCUUGCGCUGAUUGAGCGGCCGAUAUCAGAUUAGCUAGUUGGUGAGGUAAAGGCUCACCAAGGCGACGAUCUGUAGCGGGUCUGAGAGGAUGAUCCGCCACACUGGAACUGAGACACGGUCCAGACUCCUACGGGAGGCAGCAGUGGGGAAUUUUGGGCAAUGGGGGCAACCCUGAUCCAGCCAUGCCGCGUGAGUGAAGAAGGCCUUCGGGUUGUAAAGCUCUUUCGGCCGGGAAGAAAUCGUAUGGGUUAAUACCCUGUGCGGAUGACGGUACCGGCAUAAGAAGCACCGGCUAACUACGUGCCAGCAGCCGCGGUAAUACGUAGGGUGCGAGCGUUAAUCGGAAUUACUGGGCGUAAAGCGUGCGCAGGCGGUUUUGUAAGACAGGCGUGAAAUCCCCGGGCUCAACCUGGGAACUGCGCUUGUGACUGCAAGGCUAGAGUAUGGCAGAGGGGGGUGGAAUUCCACGUGUAGCAGUGAAAUGCGUAGAGAUGUGGAGGAACACCAAUGGCGAAGGCAGCCCCCUGGGCCAAUACUGACGCUCAUGCACGAAAGCGUGGGUAGCAAACAGGAUUAGAUACCCUGCUAGUCCACGCCCCUAAACGAUGUCAACUAGGUGUUGGGGUGGGUAAAACCAUUUAGUACCGUAGCUAACGCGUGAAGUUGACCGCCUGAGGAGUACGGCCGCAAGGGUUAAAAACUCAAAGGCAAUUGACGGGGGACCCCGACACCAAG